CACCUGCUGGCAGAGUCUGAGAGCUCCACCAUGGUCAUUCCCAGUUGCUGCUGAUAAGUUUCUUUACCUCUAGGCCAGUGCCCCCGUCUGUGCCCUGGUGGUGACUGUCAUUGAAGUACAUAGGGAACUAUGUAAAAACAAUCUAUCAGAUGACUCACUGUGUUGUUUAGUUUCCCUUGGCAUAGUAUAGAUAGACAGAUUUCAAGGUAUGAGACCACAUGGAAAAUGGAGAGACUUCCCCAGCAAACUGGAAGAAAAUAAGGGUUCUUCACGCUAGGUAAUCCCUCUGCCCUAAAAGCACAGUCUCAAGAGAAGGCAUUUUUUAAUCAGAGUGGGGAUCAGGGGCUUGUGAAUCCCCUAAAAUUAUAAAUAAAAUCCUAAGAGCAUUUUUUUUUUCAUAUUCUC
Molecule: long non-coding RNA, 405 nt
Filed under: Bos taurus (domestic cattle)
Lineage: Eukaryota; Metazoa; Chordata; Mammalia; Artiodactyla; Bovidae
Description: long non-coding RNA NONBTAT011692
Source: RNAcentral